ACCCAACAGCUAGCUUAUACCCAGUAUUAACAUACAACUAUUAAUAACUUUAUCACACCCCCUAACACUUUAACUAAACCAUUCUUCCCCCCUAGUACAGGCGAUAGAAAGGGGGCUCUAAACCUUUUUAAAAGCUAUAGAAAAAGUACCGCAAGGGAAAGCUGAAAGAGAAAUGAAAAAACUCAGUAAAGUAAUGAAAAGCAGAGACUGAUCCUCGUACCUUUUGCAUCAUGAUUUAACAAGAACACUUUAAGCAAAAAGACCUUUAGUUUAAACCCCCGAAAUUAAGUGAGCUACUCCGAGGCAACCUAAAACAGGGUAAACACGUCUCUGUGGCAAAAGAGUGUGAAGAACUCCGAGUAGAGGUGAUAAACCUACCGAACUUAAUAAUAGCUGGUUUCCUAGAAAACGAAUAGAAGUUCGGCCUUUAUUUAUCUUAAAUCACUCAAAUUACAGCAAGACUAAAGAUAUAUAAAGAGUUACCCAUAAGGGGUACAGCCCUUGUGGGAUAAGAAACAGCUUUAAAGGUGGGAUAAAGAUCAUAUAAAUCAAGGCUUAUUGUCCCAGUAGGCCUAAGAGCAGCCACCUGUAAAAAAGCGUUAAAGCUUAAACACCCCCCCCCCCCCCGCCUUCAAUACCGACACACAAUCUAACUCCUCCAACUUUACUAGGAUAUUCUAUAAUGUAUAGAAGAAAUAAUGUUAAUAUGAGUAAUAAGAAGUAUAAACCUCUCCUUACACAAGUGUACAUCGGAACGGAAACGCCGCCGAAAAUUAACCGUCCCCAAUAAAAGAGGGUAUUGAACCAUAAAAAGACAACUAGAAAAGACUUCAUAUCUAAACGUUAACCCCACACAGGUGUGUAUAUAAGGAAAGACUAAAAGAAAGGGAAGGAACUCGGCAAAUAUGACUUAAGCCCCGCCUGUUUACCAAAAACAUCACCUCUUGGUACACUAACAUAAGAGGCCCCGCCUGCCCUGUGAUAAAUAUUUAACGGCCGCGGUAUUUUGACCGUGCAAAGGUAGCGCAAUCAAUUGUCUUUUAAAUGAAGACCCGUAUGAAUGGCAUAACGAGGGCUCAACUGUCUCCCCUUUCAGGUCAAUGAAACUGAUCUCCCCGUGCAGAAGCGGGGAUAACAACAUAAGACGAGAAGACCCUAUGGAGCUUAAAACGCAAGAAUAGCUCAAAUAAUUAUCUUACAUUAGUAAGAUACAGACAACUGACUCCUAUUCUAGUGUUUUUGGUUGGGGCGACCGCGGGGUAAAACAAACCCCCCGUGCAGAAUGAAAACACACAUCCUCCUAUUUAAGGGUGACAGCCCUAGAAAUCAGAACCUCUGACUAACAGAUCCGGGAAACCGAUUAACGAACCAAGUUACCCUAGGGAUAACAGCGCAAUCCUCUUUUAGAGCCCAUAUCGACAAGAGGGUUUACGACCUCGAUGUUGGACCAGGACAUCCUAAUGGUGCAGCUGCUAUUAAGGGUUCGUUUGUUCAACGAUUAAAGUCCUACGUGAUCUGAGUUCAGACCGGAGUAAUCCAGGUCAGUUUCUAUCUAUGAAAUGUUUUUCUCUAGUACGAAAGGACCGAGAAAAAAAGGCCAAUGCUUAAAGUAAGCCCUUCCCUAACUCAAUGAAUUCAAAUAAAUUGAAUAACAGGACAUAAACCUGCAAACAUUGAUAAUGUUAU
Molecule: ribosomal RNA, 1686 nt
Filed under: Callopanchax toddi
Lineage: Eukaryota; Metazoa; Chordata; Actinopteri; Cyprinodontiformes; Nothobranchiidae
Description: 16S ribosomal RNA
Rfam family: Bacterial large subunit ribosomal RNA
Source: RNAcentral